RNAcentral lists this small RNA (477 nucleotides) under Pongo abelii (Sumatran orangutan). RNAcentral's name for it is "processed transcript". The record is from RNAcentral. Lineage: Eukaryota; Metazoa; Chordata; Mammalia; Primates; Hominidae.
AGGAACCGGAAACGGGAUGGGGAGCUGGACCAGGCUGGAGUGCAAUGGCGCGAUCUCAGCAGCCUCCGCCUCCCGGGUUCAAGCGAUUCUCCUGCCUCAGCCUCCCGAAAAAUUCUUGCUGCUGUAUUGAGAAUAGAUUGAGAAAACAAGGGCAGAAGCCGGGAGACCAGUCAGGAGCUGAUUGCAGUAUCAGGCUGGUCUGGAACUCCUGGGCUGAAGCUAUCCUCUUGCGUUGGCCUCCCAAAAUGUUGGAAUUACAGGCAUGGGCCACUACACCUGGCGAUCUGUGUCUUAUAUGCUGGGCAGAUGUGCCUGAGACAGGUUUGACCCGCCAACUGAAAAGACAUCCCUAAGAGAAGACAAAGCAAAGGUAUGAAAGGAACACACGUCCCUGACUUACUAGGAGGAACAGAGCUGCCUGCUGUCUGGAACCGCUUCCUCCCAGACUAAGUGAGAAAUAAACUUCUGUUUUCUAUA